UUGUAUGGCUUGCAAGUGCACACACAAGAUUAAACUGUUACUCAUUCCAAAUUAGUGGGAAUAUUUAGCAAGAAGCUUAAUGUGUUUCUUGGAAAGAGUAGAAACAAAAACCAAAAAACAAAGCUCUCACUCUGGGAAGUUUUUAUGGGCUUCAUUUUAGGGACUAGAUUAAAAUAUGAGGACAAUAACAGGAAAAAAUGAAACAUCCAAAUUAUGUCUUCAGUUGCCAUGGUUAAGCACAAUUUUAGCUUUUUGGUAUGUUCCAAUCAUGGAUCAUUUGAAAUCUAUAAUCUGAGUGAAUUUAUAACUCAACCUGUUUUAUUCAAGCGUCCAUUAACUUUCCAAAACUGCCCCCAGACCAAUUCCAUGGACCUUCUGGUCAUUCACAGUGGACCUGCUUAUUGCCCACUGUGUUAUCACUGUGUUUUACGGCAAUUCAUCCAUCAGCCCGAAAUUAAGGACUUUCCUGAAAGAAUCUGGAGCUCCAACAAUUGUUUAUGUAUCAUAAAAAUACAAUAAUUUGCCAUCAAAGGCUUUAUAAGUGAGGAAGAGAGAAAGAAAGGAUAAUGAUGUUGCUCAUGCUUU
This 585-nucleotide long non-coding RNA is filed under the name Bos taurus (domestic cattle). RNAcentral describes it as "long non-coding RNA NONBTAT006621". Lineage: Eukaryota; Metazoa; Chordata; Mammalia; Artiodactyla; Bovidae. The record is from RNAcentral.